CCUACGGGUGACAGCAGUGAGGAAUAUUGGUCAAUGGCCGAAAGCCUGAACCAGCCAAGUCGCGUGAGGGAAGAAUGUCCUAUGGAUUGUAAACCGCUUUUGUCAGGGAGCAAAGUCCCCUACGUGUGGGGGUUGGAGAGUACCUGAAGAAAAAGCAUCGGCUAAUUCCGUGCCAGCAGCCGCGGUAAUACGGAGGUUGCGGGCGUUAUCCGGAUUUAUUGGGUUUAAAGGGUGCGUAGGCGGGUUAUCAGGCCAGAGGUAAAAUCGUGGAGCUAAACUCCGUCCUGCCGUGGAAACUGAUGAUCUUGAGUGCGCGAGAGGUAGGCGGAAUGCGUGGUGUAGCGGUGAAAUGCAUAGAUAUCACGCAGAACCCCGAUUGCGAAGGCAGCUUACUGGAGCCCGACUGACGCUGAAGCACGAAAGCGUGGGUAUCGAACAGGAUUAGAUACCCGUGUAGUC
Molecule: ribosomal RNA, 459 nt
Filed under: uncultured bacterium
Lineage: Bacteria
Description: partial 16S ribosomal RNA
Rfam family: Bacterial small subunit ribosomal RNA
Source: RNAcentral